CUCUGUGACUCCGUACGGGAGGCAGCAGGUGGGGAAUAGUUGCACAAUGGGCGCAAGCCUGAUGCAGCCAUGCCGCGUGUGUGAAGAAGGCCUUCGGGUUGUAAAGCACUUUCAGUUGUGAGGAAGGUGGUGUCGUUAAUAGCGGCAUCAUUUGACGUUAGCAACAGAAGAAGCACCGGCUAACUCCGUGCCAGCAGCCGCGGUAAUACGGAGGGUGCGAGCGUUAAUCGGAAUUACUGGGCGUAAAGCGCAUGCAGGUGGUUUGUUAAGUCAGAUGUGAAAGCCCCGGGGCUCAACCUCGGAACUGCAUUUGAAACUGGCAGACUAGAGUACUGUAGAGGGGGUAGAAUUUCAGGUGUAGCGGUGAAAUGCGUAGAGAUCUGAAGGAAUACCGGUGGCGAAGGCGGCCCCCUGGACAGAUACUGACACUCAGAUGCGAAAGCGUGGGGAGCAAACAGGAUUAGAUACCCUGGUAG
Molecule: ribosomal RNA, 476 nt
Filed under: uncultured bacterium
Lineage: Bacteria
Description: bacterial SSU rRNA
Rfam family: Bacterial small subunit ribosomal RNA
Source: RNAcentral